UGGGGAAUCUUGGACAAUGGGCGAAAGCCUGAUCCAGCCAUGCCGCGUGGAUGAUGAAGGCCCUAGGGUUGUAAAGUCCUUUCGACGGGGAAGAUAAUGACGGUACCCGUAGAAGAAGCCCCGGCCAACUUCGUGCCAGCAGCCGCGGUAAUACGAAGGGGGCUAGCGUUGCUCGGAAUCACUGGGCGUAAAGCGCACGUAGGCGGAUUCAUAAGUCGGUGGUGAAAUCCUGGAGCUCAACUCCAGAACUGCCUCCGAUACUGCGAGUCUCCGAGUCCGGGAGAGGUGAGUGGAACUGCGAGUGUAGAGGUGAAAUUCGUAGAUAUUCGCAAGAACACCAGUGGCGAAGGCGGCUCACUGGCCCGGUACUGACGCUGAGGUGCGAAAGCGUGGGGAGCAAACAGGAUUAGAUACCCGUGUAGUCCCUGAGCGGGCUGGCAAGGCGCAU
Molecule: ribosomal RNA, 448 nt
Filed under: uncultured bacterium
Lineage: Bacteria
Description: bacterial SSU rRNA
Rfam family: Bacterial small subunit ribosomal RNA
Source: RNAcentral